GACGAACGCUGGCGGCGUGCCUAAUACAUGCAAGUAGAACGCUUAAGAGAGGAGCUUGCUCUUCUUGGAUGAGUUGCGAACGGGUGAGUAACGCGUAGGUAACCUGCCUUGUAGCGGGGGAUAACUAUUGGAAACGAUAGCUAAUACCGCAUAACAAUAGGUGACACAUGUCAUUUAUUUGAAAGGGGCAAUUGCUCCACUACAAGAUGGACCUGCGUUGUAUUAGCUAGUAGGUGAGGUAACGGCUCACCUAGGCGACGAUACAUAGCCGACCUGAGAGGGUUGUCGGCCACACUGGGACUGGGACACGGCCCAGACUUCUACGGGAGGCAGCAGUAGGGAAUCUUCGGCAAUGGGGGCAACCCUGACCGAGCAACGCCGCGUGAGUGAAGAAGGUUUUCGGAUCGUAAAGCUCUGUUGUAAGUCAAGAACGAGUGUGAGAGUGGAAAGUUCACACUGUGACGGUAGCUUACCAGAAAGGGACGGCUAACUACGUG
Molecule: ribosomal RNA, 497 nt
Filed under: uncultured bacterium
Lineage: Bacteria
Description: partial 16S ribosomal RNA
Rfam family: Bacterial small subunit ribosomal RNA
Source: RNAcentral